RNAcentral lists this transfer RNA (64 nucleotides) under Cavia porcellus (domestic guinea pig). It matches the Rfam family "tRNA", at positions 1 to 62 of the family's 71-position model. From Rfam's summary of the family: Transfer RNA (tRNA) molecules are approximately 80 nucleotides in length. Their secondary structure includes four short double-helical elements and three loops (D, anti-codon, and T loops). Lineage: Eukaryota; Metazoa; Chordata; Mammalia; Rodentia; Caviidae. The record is from Rfam by way of RNAcentral.
GGGGAUUUAGCUUAGCGGCAUAAGCACCUGCCUUCCAAGCAGGUCGUUGUGAGUUCGAUCCCUA